Molecule: non-coding RNA, 793 nt
Filed under: Gibbium aequinoctiale
Lineage: Eukaryota; Metazoa; Arthropoda; Insecta; Coleoptera; Ptinidae
Source: RNAcentral
UCCUAGAGGAUUAGGUUUUUAAUGUUUUUAAUUAAUUUAAUAAAAAUAAUUUUGGUUUUAUUCUAGCUUAUAAAGUAAGUUGUUUAUUAUUUAUUAUGUGAAUUUUGAUUAAAUAUUUAUUUUGCAGUUAUUAUUAUUGUAUAUUAUGGUAUUAUAGAUUCAGUAAUUAAUUAUAGUACAGGUUAAAUUUGUGCCAGCAUCCGCGGUUAUACAAUUUGUAUUAUUUACUUUUUUUGACUUGAGGUUAUAUAUAAUAAUUUUUUUGUUAUUUAGAACAAUUUAAGGUGAAAUUUUAUUUGUUCUUUGAUUAUUUAUUUGUUUUAGAAGCCUUGAAAUUUAAAUUUUAAACUAGGAUUAGAUACCCUAUUAUUUUUAAUGUAAAUUUGAGUUUUAUUAUUAAUAGAUUUGAUCUUUAAAAUAAAAGAUUUUGGCGGUAUUUUAGUCUUUUCAGAGGAACCUGUCUUUUGAUUGAUAGUCCACGAUUUACUUUACUUAUACUAGAAGUUUGUAUAUCGUUGUGGUUGAAUUUCUUAUAAGAGAUUUAAUUUUUAAUGUUUUGAUUUAAAAAUGAAUUCAGAUCAAGGUGCAGUUUAUGUAUAAGUUAAGAUGGGUUACAAUAAAUUUAUUUAUAAUGGAUUAAUAGUGUAAAUUUUAUUAUGAAGGUGGAUUUGAAAGUAAUUUAAUUAAUAUUUUUUUUAUGAUUAAGCUCUAAGAUAUGCACAUAUCGCCCGUCGCUCUCAUAUUUGAGAUAAGUCGUAACAUAGUAGGCUUAUUGGAAAUGAGCCUGGAUUGA